AUGAGUGACCCACAUUGCAGCUGGGCUGGGUUGGGGUCAAGUGGACGGCAUCUGGGCUGGGGUAAAAUGGACGGCAGCUGCGUUCGGCCCCCACCACUGUCUUGUCGGUCGGGCCACCGCCGCGACCCCAUCGCCAUCGGACCGAUGACGCGGCCGGAAUCGUACCACUGCAGUGGCGAUCGUCAUUGGGACCGCCGCGCGACGAAUCGCCACAGUUGGCCAUCGGACUCCCACCGCACCCCGUCACCAGGCAGGCUCCGUCGCCGCCAAAGCUUCGCCGGCGGCGGAUCAAGGCGCCGAUUUUUCUGA
This 309-nucleotide ribosomal RNA is filed under the name Triticum aestivum (bread wheat). RNAcentral describes it as "partial small subunit ribosomal RNA". Lineage: Eukaryota; Viridiplantae; Streptophyta; Magnoliopsida; Poales; Poaceae. The record is from RNAcentral.